Small nuclear RNA from Rhizoclosmatium globosum, 119 nucleotides. It matches the Rfam family "U5 spliceosomal RNA". Rfam says of the family: U5 RNA is a component of both types of known spliceosome. The precise function of this molecule is unknown, though it is known that the 5' loop is required for splice site selection and p220 binding, and that both the 3' stem-loop and the Sm site are important for Sm protein binding and cap methylation. NCBI's taxonomy places the organism in Eukaryota, Fungi, Chytridiomycota, Chytridiomycetes, Chytridiales, Chytriomycetaceae. The record is from Rfam.
CCUCUCUGGCUUUAUCGCAACAGCGCUUCAAUCUUUCGCCUUUUACUAAAGAUUGCCGUGUGGAAGGGCCACAAGGAGAGUGUAAUCAAUUUUUGGAAACCCUUUUUCUUGUCCACGUU